ACGGUGAUCCUCAGCUUGCUGGGGUGAUCAGUGGCGAACGGGUGAGUAACACGUGAGUAACCUGCCCCUGACUCUGGGAUAACUGCUGGAAACGGUGGCUAAUACCGGAUAUGACACGGCCGCGCAUGUGGUGGUGUGGAAAGUUUUUCGGUCAGGGAUGGGCUCGCGGCCUAUCAGCUUGUUGGUGGGGUGAUGGCCUACCAAGGCGACGACGGGUAGCCGGCCUGAGAGGGCGACCGGCCACACUGGGACUGAGACACGGCCCAGACUCCUACGGGAGGCAGCAGUGGGGAAUAUUGCACAAUGGGCGAAAGCCUGAUGCAGCGACGCCGCGUGAGGGAUGACGGCCUUCGGGUUGUAAACCUCUUUCAGCAGGGAAGAAGCGAGAGUGACGGUACCUGCAGAAGAAGCGCCGGCUAACUACGUGCCAGCAGCCGCGGUAAUACGUAGGGCGCAAGCGUUGUCCGGAAUUAUUGGGCGUAAAGAGCUCGUAGGCGGUGUGUCGCGUCUGCUGUGAAAACYUUAGGCUCAACCUGGGGCUUGCAGUGGGUACGGGCACACUAGAGUGCGGUAGGGGUGACUGGAAUUCCUGGUGUAGCGGUGGAAUGCGCAGAUAUCAGGAGGAACACCGAUGGCGAAGGCAGGUCACUGGGCCGCAACUGACGCUGAGGAGCGAAAGCAUGGGGAGCGAACAGGAUUAGAUACCCUGGUAGUCCAUGCCGUAAACGUUGGGCACUAGGUGUGGGGUCCAUUCCACGGGUUCCGUGCCGCAGCAAACGCAUUAAGUGCCCCGCCUGGGGAGUACGGCCGCAAGGCUAAAACUCAAAGAAAUUGACGGGGGCCCGCACAAGCGGCGGAGCAUGCGGAUUAAUUCGAUGCAACGCGAAGAACCCUUACCAAGGCUUGACAUGCACCGGAAACCCUCAGAGAUGGGGGCCCCGCAAGGCUGGUGCACAGGUGGUGCAUGGUUGUCGUCAGCUCGUGUCGUGAGAUGUUGGGUUAAGUCCCGCAACGAGCGCAACCCUCGUCCCAUGUUGCCAGCGGGUCGUGCCGGGGACUCAUGGGAGACUGCCGGGGUCAACUCGGAGGAAGGUGGGGAUGACGUCAAAUCAUCAUGCCCCUUAUGUCUUGGGCUUCACGCAUGCUACAAUGGCCGGUACAAAGGGCUGCGAUACCGCGAGGUGGAGCGAAUCCCAAAAAGCCGGUCUCAGUUCGGAUUGGGGUCUGCAACUCGACCCCAUGAAGUCGGAGUCGCUAGUAAUCGCAGAUCAGCAACGCUGCGGUGAAUACGUUCCCGGGCCUUGUACACACCGCCCGUCAAGUCACGAAAGUCGGUAACACCCGAAGCCGGUGGCCCAAC
This 1360-nucleotide ribosomal RNA is filed under the name Cellulomonas sp. RCML-44. Its description in RNAcentral is "16S ribosomal RNA". It matches the Rfam family "Bacterial small subunit ribosomal RNA", at positions 66 to 1439 of the family's 1533-position model. Lineage: Bacteria; Bacillati; Actinomycetota; Actinomycetes; Micrococcales; Cellulomonadaceae. The record is from RNAcentral.